This 72-nucleotide transfer RNA is filed under the name Toxocara canis (dog roundworm). It matches the Rfam family "tRNA". From Rfam's summary of the family: Transfer RNA (tRNA) molecules are approximately 80 nucleotides in length. Their secondary structure includes four short double-helical elements and three loops (D, anti-codon, and T loops). Lineage: Eukaryota; Metazoa; Nematoda; Chromadorea; Rhabditida; Toxocaridae. The record is from Rfam by way of RNAcentral.
AAGUGAUUAGCUCAAUGGUAGAGCUUCCGCCUCAUAUGCUGGAAGACCUGGGUUCGAUUCCCGGUUGAUCUU